GAUGAACGCUGGCGGCGUGCCUAACACAUGCAAGUCGAGCGAUCUUCUUCGGGAGAGAGCGGCGGACGGGUGAGUAACGCGUGGGUAACCUGCCCUGUACACACGGAUAACAUACCGAAAGGUAUGCUAAUACGGGAUGAUAUAUGAAAGUCGCAUGGCUUUUAUAUCAAAGCUCCGGCGGUACAGGAUGGACCCGCGUCUGAUUAGCUAGUUGGUAAGGUAAUGGCUUACCAAGGCGACGAUCAGUAGCCGACCUGAGAGGGUGAUCGGCCACACUGGAACUGAGACACGGUCCAGACUCCUACGGGAGGCAGCAGUGGGGAAUAUUGCACAAUGGGCGAAAGCCUGAUGCAGCAACGCCGCGUGAGCGAUGAAGGCCUUCGGGUCGUAAAGCUCUGUCCUCAAGGAAGAUAAUGACGGUACUUGAGGAGGAAGCCCCGGCUAACUACGUGCCAGCAGCCGCGGUAAUACGUAGGGGGCUAGCGUUAUCCGGAAUUACUGGGCGUAAAGGGUGCGUAGGCGGUCUUUCAAGCCAGAAGUGAAAGGCUACGGCUCAACCGUAGUAAGCUUUUGGAACUGUAGGACUUGAGUGCAGGAGAGGAGAGUAGAAUUCCUAGUGUAGCGGUGAAAUGCGUAGAUAUUAGGAGGAAUACCAGUAGCGAAGGCGGCUCUCUGGACUGUAACUGACGCUGAGGCACGAAAGCGUGGGGAGCAAACAGG
RNAcentral lists this ribosomal RNA (720 nucleotides) under uncultured bacterium. RNAcentral's name for it is "bacterial SSU rRNA". It matches the Rfam family "Bacterial small subunit ribosomal RNA", at positions 28 to 776 of the family's 1533-position model. The record is from RNAcentral.